RNAcentral lists this ribosomal RNA (497 nucleotides) under uncultured bacterium. Its description in RNAcentral is "partial 16S ribosomal RNA". It matches the Rfam family "Bacterial small subunit ribosomal RNA", at positions 28 to 507 of the family's 1533-position model. The record is from RNAcentral.
GAUGAACGCUGGCGGCGUGCCUAACACAUGCAAGUCGAGCGAACGGACGAGAAGCUUGCUUCUCUGAUGUUAGCGGCGGACGGGUGAGUAACAAGUGGAUAGCCUAUCUAUAAGACUGGGAUAACUUCGGGGAAUCGUAGCUAAGACCGGAUUAUAUUUUGAACCGCAUGGUUCAACAGUGGAAGGCGGUCUUGCUGUCACUUAUAGAUGGUUCCGCGCUGCAUUAGCUAGUUGUUAAGGUAACGGCUUACCAAGGCAACGAUGGAUAGCCGACCUGAGAGGGUGAUCGGCCACACUGGCACUGAGACACGGUCCAGACUCCUACGGGAGGCAGCAGUAGGGAAUCUGCCGCAAUCAGCGAAAGCCUGACGGAGCAGCGCCGCGUGAGUGAUGAAGGUCUUCGGAUCGGAAAACUCUGUUAUUAGGGAAGAACAUAUGUCUAAGUAGCUGUGCACAUCGUGACGGUACCUAAACAGGAAGCCCCGGCUAACUACGUG